This is a long non-coding RNA of Sciurus carolinensis (gray squirrel), 852 nucleotides long. RefSeq lists it as uncharacterized. The record is from RefSeq and is a predicted model, not a curated record. The transcript is spliced from 3 exons. Lineage: Eukaryota; Metazoa; Chordata; Mammalia; Rodentia; Sciuridae.
CUGUAUCAGUCUGCUCUGACUCAUCUUCUGUUCUCGUGGCACCAAAGCUUGAGUCGGAUUCCAGAGAGGAGAGUCUGGUGCACUUUGCUUGGGUCCUGGGCCCACCCUUUGACUGGAGGACGGUGGGGCCACUUCCUCAGCUCCCUGGCCAUGACUACAGGAACAUGGACAACGCAAAAAAGAAGACCAACGGAACAAGGAAGGAGAACCGGGUGGUGUCCAUGGCAGGCAGGGCUGAGCAGGAGGGAGGUGCUGUGAGGCUGGGCUCAGAGACGGGUGAGUCACCGGCUCAGACUCCAGCAGAAGCCAGCGUGUCUCCUCCCCAGCCACUGUUCCCAGGAAGCAGCCUGGCCUCGCCAUUCUGUGUUCUACAGUCGAGGAUGCUUGUGGAGAGUGGAAGGAGGCAGAGGGGACCUCGGCUCCCACAGAGAACCGGUUGAGGUGCAGAAGAAUUUUUGGCUCAUCUGUUGAAUAAGACCUUGUAGCAGGUGCAUCAAGCCCUUGGACUUGGAUGGAAUGAUAAGCUCUUUGGGAUUCCCCUUGAGGCCAUCUAGUGGCUGUUGAGUAGAACUCUGAAUCAGGGAGAAUUCCUCCUUUAAUUCUGAAGAGUUCAUUCCAGGCCAGUCUUUCUCCUCUUGGCCUCUGCUGUCACUUCUUUGGCUGUCCUGGUUGUAUGGCCCUAGCCUUUUGUUUAAUCAGUACCCAUUGGGCAGCCUGCCUUAAGGACAUGUAGAAAAGCUUUCCAAAGGGUGUUCAGUGCCGUGGGUGAGAAAGAACAUCUCAGAUUUUACACAGUUUUUCAUUUUGCAAAGUAUUUCCACAGACAUAAUCUCAUUCAAUUUGAUAUCUUUA